Columba livia (rock pigeon) is the source of this 382-nucleotide long non-coding RNA. RefSeq lists it as uncharacterized. The transcript has 4 exons. Lineage: Eukaryota; Metazoa; Chordata; Aves; Columbiformes; Columbidae. The record is from RefSeq and is a predicted model, not a curated record.
UCCUCAUGUAAAUAGCUGUGAUUUUCCUGGUUAGAUGCUAGAAAAUUCUGUCUUCUAAAGCCUGACCAGCUGGUGAACCGGAGAAGGGAGAACCUUUCAAAAUGAGGCUGCAAGGAUUUUGUCACCUGAGAAAAGAGAUGGGAAGUGCACACUGGCCAGGACUCGGAAUACCUUAUUCUGCAGGUCUGAGGAGCUGUAAACAAUGGAGCAGUGUGUGCCACUCAUCACAUCGCCUCUGAAAAAAAGCCUCCCACAAAGAACGGAACAAUUCAUAGAAUAACUUCAGCAUAUUCCCCCUCUUCGGUCUCAGAUUUUAACAGCUUGUAACAACUCAUUAUAUGAUCUUGUUUCCAGCUGGAAGGAUGGAGCCUGGAUUUUUAGG